GAUGAACGCUGGCGGCGUGCCUAGUACAUGCAAGUCGAGCGAACAGACGAGGAGCUUGCUCCUCUGACGUUAGCGGCGGACGGGUGAGUAACACGUGGAUAACCUACCUAUAAGACUGGGAUAACUUCGGGAAACCGGAGCUAAUACCGGAUAAUAUAUUGAACCGCAUGGUUCAAUAGUGAAAGACGGUUUUGCUGUCACUUAUAGAUGGAUCCGCGCCGCAUUAGCUAGUUGGUAAGGUAACGGCUUACCAAGGCAACGAUGCGUAGCCGACCUGAGAGGGUGAUCGGCCACACUGGAACUGAGACACGGUCCAGACUCCUACGGGAGGCAGCAGUAGGGAAUCUUCCGCAAUGGGCGAAAGCCUGACGGAGCAACGCCGCGUUAGUGAUGAAGGUCUUCGGAUCGUAAAACUCUGUUAUUAGGGAAGAACAAAUGUGUAAGUAACUAUGCACGUCUUGACGGUACCUAAUCAGAAAGCCACGGCUAACUACGUG
This 497-nucleotide ribosomal RNA is filed under the name uncultured bacterium. Its description in RNAcentral is "partial 16S ribosomal RNA". It matches the Rfam family "Bacterial small subunit ribosomal RNA", at positions 28 to 507 of the family's 1533-position model. The record is from RNAcentral.